This 425-nucleotide ribosomal RNA is filed under the name uncultured bacterium. RNAcentral describes it as "partial 16S ribosomal RNA". It matches the Rfam family "Bacterial small subunit ribosomal RNA", at positions 354 to 796 of the family's 1533-position model. The record is from RNAcentral.
GUGGGGAAUCUUGCGCAAUGGGCGAAAGCCUGACGCAGCCAUGCCGCGUGAAUGAUGAAGGUCUUAGGAUUGUAAAAUUCUUUCACCGGGGACGAUAAUGACGGUACCCGGAGAAGAAGCCCCGGCUAACUUCGUGCCAGCAGCCGCGGUAAUACGAAGGGGGCUAGCGUUGCUCGGAAUUACUGGGCGUAAAGGGCGCGUAGGCGGACAGUUUAGUCAGAGGUGAAAGCCCAGGGCUCAACCUUGGAAUUGCCUUUGAUACUGGCUGUCUUGAGUACGGGGGAGGUGAGUGGAACUCCGAGUGUAGAGGUGAAAUUCGUAGAUAUUCUGAAGAACACCAGUGGCGAAGGCGACUCACUGGCCCGUUACUGACGCUGAGGCGCGAAAGCGUGGGGAGCAAACAGGAUUAGAAACCCGGGUAGUCC